CCCUGCGCCGGCGUGGGGGGAGGGUGGGGCCGGAGUUAGUCCGCUCCCUAAGCCCCUCCAGAAGCGGGAACGCCCACAGCGGCGCAAAAAAGCUACGCCAUGGAAAAAGAAGGCGUAGCCCAUAGGCGCCCAUGGAACGGCAAAAAAACGACCCUCUCUCUGAGCGCCCCGCCCCGCCCCCAUGGCCUGAAGGAGCAUAGGAUGAGAACUAUCCCGGGGACCAAUCAGCAUGCGCGCCCGGAAUGGACGAGCCCCCCUCUCUGCACCCAAUCAUCUGCGAACGUGCCCUACAAAACAUCCGGCCAGCGCCGCCCAAACCCCAGGUGCCCUGACUCUGGCGCUCCCGCCUGGUGAUGACCGACAGAGCGCUGACAGGUAAAGGCUUGCCAAGGCUGAGCGCAUCCUCGCCAGACCGUCAUGGAUCAGCUGGUCGCUGCUGGCGUCGACUAUAUGCAUCCUCCCGGAUGGCGGAGUGUGGGGCUUGCCUCGCCAGUGGAACGAGGCAAAGCCCACAUGUGUCUUUUUCCCCCACAGGCACGUCCAGGGCAGGGCUGCUCCCCCGCGUCCUGCCCUCCCCAAACAUCUCUGUCGGACGGUUGGCUGCAGCCCAGGAAGCACUUUCGCGCCGUGGCCUGCAUCCCAGCCCCGUCCCUCCGAGCGGGAAGGAGGGCUGUGUGGAAUGCUCCGACUCCCUUGCUAGCCUAAAAACAAGCCCACUUGUUCCAGUGCAAUAAAACGAGUUGUCAAACAAC
Molecule: RNA transcript, 752 nt
Organism: Eublepharis macularius
Lineage: Eukaryota; Metazoa; Chordata; Lepidosauria; Squamata; Eublepharidae
Gene name: translation initiation factor IF-2-like
Exons: 3
Source: RefSeq, a predicted model, not a curated record